UCCCGAGUUACAUAGGGUUAUGCUUAGUGACACCAACAGAGGCAUGGUUACAGUAGCGUAGUUGGCAGGAUCCACAGAACGAAGUCAGUUAAGCUUUGGAUCAGAACCCCACACCUAUUCAAAAUUUGAAUGUUGAUAUUAAGAGUUUUAAAUGUUAAAGAUCAAUGACCAUUAGCCAGAAGGCAUCAGCAGAAGCCAUCAAACUACAAGCCCUGAGAGAGAGCCUGUGUCUUGAACAUGAACAAAGACUGGUAGAACUUUGACUGCAAGAGAAGCAAGCCUUGGCCCAGCUGGAAAAAGAAGCUGAAAAGAGAACCAAGCAAGCUGAAGAGAGAGCCAAAGCAGCUUAGAGGAGGCAAAUAGAAGUUCUGCAAGCUAAGACAGAAGUGGACAAACUGAAGCUCCAAAUCAAAAAAGCAAUGGAAGAACAGCAGAAACGGUAUCGUCUUGGAAGUCCAGUUUAUAACAUGUUGGGAAGGAGCAAUAGGGGUGUGUACUGUUCUGCAUAAUACACCCUCUCUUCUUGCUGAGGGAGGGAGCUAGGAGGCUGAAAUCUCUAACAUAAUAACUGACUCCAUGGCAAGAGUCUUGGUUGUCAAAAAAACCGUACAACUCAGCUAAUGCCCUCCUACUGUAGAGCCAAAGGUAGGUGGAAAACUCUGUGGAAGCCAUGAAGAUUACAAUGACUGGUGGGGGAAGGCAAGGUUUGGUCCUUGCAGAGCAGACAAGGGCAUAGCUCUCCCAGUGCAGAGAUGUCUGGAAAAUCUCUGGGAAUAUUCCAUGUAUCUUUGGUCACUCACUGAGGGUCAAGAUAUUCAAGUGGAUGUCCAGUGCAUCCAUGCUGCUCCCUAAAUACCCACAGAGACUAAGGAUGCCAUAGGCUUUUCAACAACUUAUGCCAACAUGUUUGGGUUGGCGAUGGAGAAUGACGACAAAGAAGAAUCCACAUGACAGAAUGCAGACAUCAGUUUGCACAAAAAAGUCCCUGUGGGUUUGCAGGAGGAUAAUAGCAAAGAGAAUGGCUCUGUCCAGCUCUGCUCCUCCUUUUCCCAGCCACUCCCCUAAGAUGAUAGCGCCUCAAACAUAACAGUGUUCAUGUGGAGGUGCUUCUGCAGGAUUGAGGGAGAAUGAAACCAUGAUGUAUUACCCCUUCCUCCCUCUAACCGAAUCUUGGCCAUUCCCUCCACAGCAAAAAGAGAAAUGACAACUAGGCCCCUCUGAUUUUACUGAAGGGCAAAGGGAACACAGAACAUUAUGGGAAAACAAUCUGGUUUUCAUACACAUGGCCAUUUUUGCCAUCCUUAUUUAGAGUCUUUUAAAAAUACCUUUGUUUUUGUACAAGAUCAAGAAUUUUUCACCCGUACCUUAGUGUGCAAGGGAGUGUGUGUAUGUAUAUAAUGUUUCCCUCACAACUCCUACCAGGAUACUUGUAAAAAUAAAUUGUUUUGUUCCAGAAUU
Gopherus evgoodei (Goodes thornscrub tortoise) is the source of this 1458-nucleotide long non-coding RNA. RefSeq lists it as uncharacterized. The record is from RefSeq and is a predicted model, not a curated record. The transcript has 3 exons. NCBI's taxonomy places the organism in Eukaryota, Metazoa, Chordata, Testudines, Testudinidae.